GACGAACGCUGGCGGCGUGCCUAACACAUGCAAGUCGAACGGAAAGGCCCUGCUUUUGUGGGGUGCUCGAGUGGCGAACGGGUGAGUAACACGUGAGUAACCUGCCCUUGACUUUGGGAUAACUUCAGGAAACUGGGGCUAAUACCGGAUAGGAGCUCCUGCUGCAUGGUGGGGGUUGGAAAGUGUCGGCGGUUGGGGAUGGACUCGCGGCUUAUCAGCUUGUUGGUGGGGUAGUGGCUUACCAAGGCUUUGACGGGUAGCCGGCCUGAGAGGGUGGCCGGCCACAUUGCGACUGCGAUACGGCCCAGACUCCUACGGGAGGCAGCAGUGGGGAAUAUUGCACAAUGGGCGGAAGCCUGAUGCAGCAACGCCGCGUGCGGGAUGACGGCCUUCGGGUUGUAAACCGCUUUCGCCUGUGACGAAGCGUGAGUGACGGUAAUGGGUAAAGAAGCACCGGCUAACUACGUG
Molecule: ribosomal RNA, 468 nt
Filed under: uncultured bacterium
Lineage: Bacteria
Description: partial 16S ribosomal RNA
Rfam family: Bacterial small subunit ribosomal RNA
Source: RNAcentral